RNAcentral lists this transfer RNA (85 nucleotides) under Rubripirellula sp. RNAcentral's name for it is "tRNA-Leu". It matches the Rfam family "tRNA". Rfam says of the family: Transfer RNA (tRNA) molecules are approximately 80 nucleotides in length. Their secondary structure includes four short double-helical elements and three loops (D, anti-codon, and T loops). Lineage: Bacteria; Pseudomonadati; Planctomycetota; Planctomycetia; Pirellulales; Pirellulaceae. RNAcentral also lists the same sequence under 3 other names. The record is from RNAcentral.
GCGGAUGUGGCGGAAUUGGCAGACGCGCUAGAUUCAGGUUCUAGUGCCCGUUAAGGGCGUGGAGGUUCAAGUCCUCUCAUCCGCA